UUAAGAUGGCAGAUCAGUGCAUAGGAUUUAAGAUCCUGGUAGGGAAUAUAGGUUAAUAUUCUUCUUAAUA
This 70-nucleotide transfer RNA is filed under the name Dosidicus gigas (jumbo flying squid). Its description in RNAcentral is "tRNA-Leu". The record is from RNAcentral. Lineage: Eukaryota; Metazoa; Mollusca; Cephalopoda; Oegopsida; Ommastrephidae.